AUGGUGCAUCAUGGUCUCGCCUCUUGCUGAGCCACUGCGGUGCACCAUAGGAGCUCCUGGCAAUGGUGCAUCAGGGCAAAUGUAGGCUAGCUGAGGAAACUUUUUAAUUUGGAGCUGAAAACAUUUUGGUGGGGGUUUUAUUGAAAUUUUUUAAUUUUCCGUGGAAAAUUUUUUCAUGAAAAAUUUCAUUUGUCAAAAACUCAAUUUUCUGGUGAAGAACAGUCUUGAUAGAAAACUUUCAAUCUGCCUUAGUUAUAAUGCUGUCUGAUAACUUCCUAAUACUUUCCUGGGGAUAUGGAAAAUGAGCAAAAGGAUUUCCUAGUGGUUACUGUUUCCCAUUGACUCAAAACCAAAGGACAAAGUGGACAUCUAACGAAUAGAUGCUGGCUGUGCUCUUCAUCCCCACCUGAAGAUACUUUGUCUCAAAGCUUGGCUUCUCGAUGAUUCGCGUGACUAGAAUCAACUUGCUCUAAGGAAGUGCAACAGCUAACAUCCUUCUUCUUGACAAAAGGUGGAGGAAACUGUCUUGUUCAAAUCCACUUAUUAUGGAAUUCACUAUUUAAUAUUUGUGUGCCUCACCACUUGCCUUUUCACCUGGCUCAUGAAUGGAGAACCUCAAUGUACUUACAAUUGGCCCUGUUUCAUAGCAGU
Molecule: long non-coding RNA, 651 nt
Organism: Dermochelys coriacea (leatherback sea turtle)
Lineage: Eukaryota; Metazoa; Chordata; Testudines; Dermochelyidae
Exons: 4
Source: RefSeq, a predicted model, not a curated record